This 411-nucleotide ribosomal RNA is filed under the name uncultured eukaryote. RNAcentral's name for it is "SSU rRNA". It matches the Rfam family "Eukaryotic small subunit ribosomal RNA", at positions 567 to 990 of the family's 1831-position model. The record is from RNAcentral.
CCAGCAGCCGCGGUAAUUCCAGCUCCAAUAGCGUAUAUUAAAGUUGUUGCAGUUAAAAAGCUCGUAGUUGGAUUUCUGGGAGGGUGCCGAUGUCCUCUUAACGUGUGUGCAGCGGCGCCCUUUCAUCCUUCUGUUAGCGCCUCUUGGCAUUCACUUGCUGGUGGCGGGCUCAGAUAUUUUACCUUGAGAAAAUUAGAGUGUUUCAGGCAGGCUAGGCCGGAAUACAUUAGCAUGGAAUAAUGGAAUAGGACUACGGUCUCUUUGUUGGUUUGAGGGACUGCAGUAAUGAUUAAUAGGGAUAGUUGGGGGCAUUAGUACUUAACUGUCAGAGGUGGAAUUCUCAGAUUUGUUAAAGACUGACUUAUGCGAAAGCAUUUGCCAAGGAUGUUUUCAUUAAUCAAGAACGAAAGU